This 1110-nucleotide unclassified non-coding RNA is filed under the name Leishmania donovani. RNAcentral's name for it is "gene:LdHU3.19.1520(CDS-product:RNA_binding_protei n_putative)". The record is from RNAcentral. Lineage: Eukaryota; Euglenozoa; Kinetoplastea; Trypanosomatida; Trypanosomatidae.
CACCGAGAAAACACAAAAACGAAAGGAAGCCAGUUUUGGACCACAGCCUCCGACCCUCUCUAUGGCGGACUACAACGCAGCAGGUGACGGCACGGCGGUGGUGGACGACAACGUGCCGCCAGGCAUCACGACGAAGCAGGACGAAAUCAUCCAGUACGUGGCCAAGUACGUGGUCGCAUCGUGUGACGGGGCGCGAUAUCAAGACAAGGUUCGCACACGCACAAAGCAUAAUCCGUACUUCGAUUUCCUCAACGCCAAGCACCCGUACCACCAGUACUACCAGUACCUCCUCGAGUCCUACCGGCAUUGGAUGCGCAAUAGCGAGGCAGUCGGGGCGGGGACGUGGGGCGGCGGUGUCGAUGCGAUGCAGGGCCAGGGGCAGCAGCAGCAGUGGAACGAGGAAGACUACUACCAGUACUACGGCGCCUACGCUGGACAGGCGAGCGGCAUUGAAUUUCAGGGCAACGCCGCUGCUCAGCUUGGCGAGGGAAGCAGCUAUGUGGACGCAUCUAGCUCCGCGCACGCGCAGAACGCCAGCAGCGGCGUCGAUCCCACCUUGUAUGAGCCGGAAUCAGUCACUGUCACGGGCUAUGGCGCUGGCUACGACCCCUCGGCGGUAGGCCCGGAGCCGGCUCAGGCGGCAACGACUGCAGGCAGCGGCGAAGCUCAGGCCGAGGAAGACGAAGACGACGAGUACGAGCUAGUCAUGGAAAACGGGCAGUGGGUGUCACGCAAGCGGAUGUAGCUGCAUCGCUUUUCAUGGCUUUGGCUCUCUCCAUCGGCGUGUGGGACGACAUAUAUGUGUGAUGGUGUCCGCGCGUGCGAAGGAAUAGCAGAAGACAUGCGGUGAGGGUUUAUGGAUUGUUGAAGCCGGCCAAAGGAGGAGGUGCGAGGUAAGGCGCUCGCCCACCAAUCAACACCAGCGCCUGCCUCCUCCUCUCUCUCGCACCUUUUCUAUAUAGUAGCCCGAGUAAUCGAAAGGAAAGAAAGGGGGGGUGCAGGCCACCGUGGCCAGCACUCCACGGGCACGAACAUAUAUGCCAGCACUUGCUUGAGUGUCUCUUAGUGAUGCCCCUCGGCGUCUCACACGCGCCUUGUAUGAGGCGGUGC